AUCCAGCUGACGAGUCCCAAAUAGGACGAAACGCUCGUCUCGGGU
Molecule: non-coding RNA, 45 nt
Filed under: Schistosoma margrebowiei
Lineage: Eukaryota; Metazoa; Platyhelminthes; Trematoda; Strigeidida; Schistosomatidae
Source: RNAcentral